Molecule: transfer RNA, 76 nt
Filed under: Chloroflexota bacterium
Lineage: Bacteria; Bacillati; Chloroflexota
Also listed under: 1 other name
Description: Chloroflexi bacterium tRNA-Cys
Rfam family: tRNA
About the family: Transfer RNA (tRNA) molecules are approximately 80 nucleotides in length. Their secondary structure includes four short double-helical elements and three loops (D, anti-codon, and T loops). Further hydrogen bonds mediate the characteristic L-shaped molecular structure. tRNAs have two regions of fundamental functional importance: the anti-codon, which is responsible for specific mRNA codon recognition, and the 3' end, to which the tRNAs corresponding amino acid is attached (by aminoacyl-tRNA synthetases). tRNAs cope with the degeneracy of the genetic code in two manners: having more than one tRNA (with a specific anti-codon) for a particular amino acid; and 'wobble' base-pairing, i.e. permitting non-standard base-pairing at the 3rd anti-codon position.
Source: RNAcentral
GGCGACGUAGCCAAGUGGUUAAGGCGAGGGUCUGCAAAACCCUUAUUCGGCGGUUCGAUUCCGCCCGUCGCCUCCA